AAAAUAAUAAUAAAACAGAACAGCACCUUAAAGAAAAAUCUAUUGAAGUAGAUAAAAAGAUAGCAAUUCUUAGAAUUAGAAUUAUUGAAAUAGAUUAAAAUACAGCAAUUAUUUGAAAAACAAUUUUAAGUAAUUCGUAACAUAGAAAACCUCAAAAAGCUUGUUAGCUAGGGUAACUAACAAGCAUUUGAAAUAUUCACCACUCUACUAGAAAUUUCAGGAUUCAUAGAUGAUUUUUAGAUCAAGUGAAAAGUUCCUUCAAAAAUAUAUUAGAUUUGCCAAGCUAUAGUUCUAAGAAUAUCUAGAAAAAUGGGAUCAAACUAAGAAAGCAGAAUAUUCAGCUAAGAAUAUUGAAGGAGACUGUGAUCUAGAAGCUGCCAAAAUAUGAUAGCACUACUUAAUCUAAUACAUAAUACUCAUUUUCUAAAGGAAUGUAUUUGUACUUGUGAGUGAGGACAGACAUGCGCAUGCAUAUAUGGAAUACCAAAAUAUGACUUUCUGACAUGAUUUCUUAUUACUAACUAAAUAAAAAAUGUUCAUCCUGAUUACAAUUGAUUCUAUAUUGUUGGACUAGAUGGUUAAUAAUUUAUCGUUCUCUGACAUUUUCAAUUGCUCCCAUCUGACAGAUUUCUUAACAGAAACCAAGAGACAUACACAUGUCCAAUGUUUCUCUUGGAAGAGUAGAAGCUGGUCAUGUCAACUUUAUAAUGUUAAAUCUACAAUUCAACCUUCAACUGGAGAUUUGGAAUGCUUUAAAAAUAGAAAUUAAAAAUAAAAACAAAAUCCAAAUGAAAAAGAUAGUAUGAAAGUAUGUCAAUAAACAUGAUUAUUGUUCUGUAUUUUGAUGGUAAAUAAAUACUGUCUUGCAAAGUUAUGGAAGUAAAAUACAAUUCAAGUCAUCUAUUUACCAUUAAGGAAAGAUUCUCCCUGACAGAAUAUUAAUUUAAUACAGCUGUAUGGUACAAGUAAUAAAAAUACUAUGUGUACCAGCCAGACCUGCCGGCUCAUGAAAUGUCUUAUCUCCUGGAAGCACAGUUUAGGGAUGUAGGAUGUGAUAAAGCAGCUGCCAGGACUCAUCAAAUCCCCUGCUUCAUCCAUGUGGGGAUAAAUAAGUACCAAAAGAAGCCAUAACCAUAUCACCUUGGACUUAAAACACUAGGAACAAAGCUGAAGAAUCUGGGAGCUCAGGCUGUUUCUCCUCCACCUGUUCAGUCCAUGGAAGAGUGACCCAUAAAAGGAAAGAACUCAAAGUGAUUGAUUGACUUUGGGAAUGAUGUUGAUAAGAGAGAUUUGAUUUCUGAGACUAUAGUUCGUACUUUCUGGAGGAUGGAGUGCUGGGCCAAGAUGAAUUAAACUUCACAAAUAUAAAGAACGUUAACGCAGGAGGAUUUAAACUGAAUCCUGUGGAAAAUGGAGAUGUAAAUCCAGAAAAUUUUAAGAUAAGAACUUGUGCACAGUAAGUCAACAAACUUUCAUCAUCUCCCUCCCCAUAAAAGCAAAACACCAGGAUGACUAAAGCUGAUUCCGUCCCAGAACCAGGCCUGAAAUCAGAGUGAAACAGCUUCAAUUAAUACAUUUCUUCCAUAGGUUUGAUACAUUAUAGGUAGCACCCUCACAAGCACCCUGGAAAGGGGCAUUAAGUCAAUAGCUAUUAAACCCCAGGUUCCAGAGAGUUUCUUGAGCACAAGCAUAUAGCCGCCUUCAAAGCAUUCGUUAAAAGCUCCUGUCAUAACUGGAAUCCAGCUAAAUGUAUUUAUACUAAACAGUGUAAAAUCUUCUGCUACUAUUUCUAUUGAUACUUUUAAUUAAGCAUCCCUUUAAUUAAUUAUAUUGUUUCAUAAGCAAACUAAGACAACUCAGAGGUAAGUACUCAUUCUUGAUUACUCAUUUUGAUUGAAGGGCUAGUUAUUUUUCUACAAAAUUACUUUCCAUAAUGUCAUUCAACUGUGAAGUAGGAUCUUGCCCCAUCAGCCUUCUGUCAGUAAUAAUGAUAAUAAUGUCAAUAACCCCUGUCAGUGAUUAUCCAGAAGCCCUUACCAUUAAAGAGGCUAUAAAACUUCUGCAUUUCAGCCUUUGGCAUGCAAGUCUUUUCAGUUUUCAUCUUUGAAUUAGGAGAAUAUAAAUCUAUUCUAACUCCUUAAAGAAAAGGUAUGUAUGGUUUAGGCUUCAGUAAAUCUGUUUCAUAAUGUCAUCAGAUUCAGAAA
Molecule: long non-coding RNA, 2204 nt
Organism: Candoia aspera
Lineage: Eukaryota; Metazoa; Chordata; Lepidosauria; Squamata; Candoiidae
Exons: 2
Source: RefSeq, a predicted model, not a curated record